This 343-nucleotide long non-coding RNA is filed under the name Nicotiana benthamiana. RNAcentral's name for it is "long non-coding RNA (NBEN_LNC036772)". The record is from RNAcentral. Lineage: Eukaryota; Viridiplantae; Streptophyta; Magnoliopsida; Solanales; Solanaceae.
ACGAAUCUGUGGUUGUCUUCGUCCAAACCCCGACCCAUCGUUUCGAAUAUCGGAUCAAAGCUCUGACCAAAAACCUAACCUUACUGGAAUCCUUAAAAAAUGGUCCCAGGUGGCCUCCUCACCUUCCCCUCCAUAACUCCAUGACCAACAACCUUCGAAUACAACCAGGCUUGGCCAAAAAUCGAAUUAAAAUAGCCUGAAACCCAGACCCCAUCCCAAGCCAACUAACUCUAACCCGAUUCCCUCUCCCCCCUCUCCAAUAAUGAUACACAGGUAUCAAGAGACCAAAGACCCUCUCAGAAAGGGUCGAAAAACUUUGAGACGUGACGAGCUCCAAAUUUUA